Molecule: ribosomal RNA, 468 nt
Filed under: uncultured bacterium
Lineage: Bacteria
Description: partial 16S ribosomal RNA
Rfam family: Bacterial small subunit ribosomal RNA
Source: RNAcentral
GACGAACGCUGGCGGCGUGCUUAACACAUGCAAGUCGAACGGAAAUGCCCUGCUUGCAGGGUGCUCGAGUGGCGAACGGGUGAGUCACACGUGUGUGAUCUGCCCCUUACUUUGGGAUAAGCCUUGGAAACUGGGUCUAAUACUGGAUAGGACCAUGCUGUAGGUGGUGUGGUGGAAAGAUUAGUUUCGGUAAGGGAUGAGCUCGCGGCCUAUCAGCUUGUUGGUGGGGUAAUGGCCUACCAAGGCGUCGACGGGUAUCCGGCCUGAGAGGGUGGACGGUCACAUGGGGACUGAGAUCUGGCCCACACUCCUACGGGCGGCAGGAGGGAGGAGUAUUGCACAAUGGGCGAAAGGCUAAUGCAGCGACGCGCCGUGCCGGAUGAAGGCCUUAGGGUUGUAAAUUCCUUUCAGCUAUGACGAAGCAUUCGGGUGACGGUAGUGGUAGAAGAAGCACCGGCUAACUACGUG